GAUUUUAGCCCUGCUAGUCGCACGAGUUCAGACUCGUGGCGAAUAGCUCAGUAACACGUGGCCAAACUACCCUUCGGAAUACAAUACCCUCGGGAAACUGAGGCUAAUAGUGUAUACCACAGUCCACCUGGAAUGAGGACUGUGCUAAAUGCUCCGGCGCCGAAGGAUGUGGCUGCGGCCGAUUAGGUAGACGGUGGGGUAACGGCCCACCGUGCCAAUAAUCGGUACGGGUCAUGAGAGUGAGAACCCGGAGACGGAAUCUGAGACAAGAUUCCGGGCCCUACGGGGCGCAGCAGGCGCUAAACCUUUACACUGCACGACAGUGCGAUAAGGGAAUCCCAAGUGCGUAGGCAUAGAGCCUACGCUUUUGUCCACCGUAGGGAGGUGGACGAAUAACGGCUGGGCAAGAUCGGUGCCAGCCGCC
RNAcentral lists this ribosomal RNA (424 nucleotides) under Halorubrum lipolyticum. RNAcentral's name for it is "bacterial SSU rRNA". It matches the Rfam family "Archaeal small subunit ribosomal RNA", at positions 42 to 466 of the family's 1478-position model. The record is from RNAcentral. Lineage: Archaea; Methanobacteriati; Methanobacteriota; Halobacteria; Halobacteriales; Haloferacaceae.